AGGGAUUGAAAUCAUUCUCCAUUAUACGGGAAGUACUACCGAACUUACAAAUCAACUCAUUAUGAGCUGAUGCUUUCCCUUCUACUACAUUACAUUUAACUAACUAUACUACUAGCUUCUACUACAUUACUUCGCUAAUACUAUUUCUACUACUAAUCUACACUAACAUAUAAAACUAGUGGCGUCUAGCCACUGGCCUUGUUGCUGCCCUUGCUGCUGCCCUUGCUGCCGCCACUGCCGUCGCCGCCGCCACCCUUGCCGCUGUCACCGCCGCCGUCACCGUCGCCUCCGUCGUCGUCGCCGUCGCCGCCGCCACCCUCCUCGGACGAGUCG
This is a long non-coding RNA of Zea mays, 333 nucleotides long. RefSeq lists it as uncharacterized. The transcript has a single exon. Lineage: Eukaryota; Viridiplantae; Streptophyta; Magnoliopsida; Poales; Poaceae. The record is from RefSeq and is marked validated.